UUGCGCAUGUCCACCUGGCUUAACAGGAGAAACCUGCAAUGUCAAAGGUUAAAACUUAAACAUAUGCUUUCUUCACAAUUGGUAAUUUUAAUGUGAUUAUUUUAUUGUUUUGAGGCUACCAUCACACAUUUGUAACUAAAUCUUCUAUAGAACAAGAGAACCCCUGCUCAUGUUCUCCCUGUCAUAACGGUGGUACGUGUCAUCCCAAGGAUGAAUUCAAUUUCAUAUGUGAAUGUCCAUAUGGCUUUAUGGGUGAUACUUGCAAUGUCAAAGGAAUUUAAAAUAUUGAUGAAAACAUAAGAAGACAGAAAAAUUGUAACAAAAAUAUUGAUUUACAAAAUAACCUGCUGUUUGGUCAAAAUGAUGAUUUUGUAAAAUUGACAGUAUUAAUAAAGAUCAAAGAAGA
Long non-coding RNA from Saccostrea cuccullata (small rock oyster), 406 nucleotides. RefSeq lists it as uncharacterized. Lineage: Eukaryota; Metazoa; Mollusca; Bivalvia; Ostreida; Ostreidae. The transcript has 2 exons. The record is from RefSeq and is a predicted model, not a curated record.